GGGGGAGAAUGGGCAUCCCACCCCAGCACUUUCUAGGAAGAAGGGCAGCAUUUUGAAGGGCUGGAAGUAGAGGAAGGAGGUUGCGGGUAGAAGACUCCAUACUUUCUGUGACGCCUAUUCCUUAGGAAUCAAGGCUAUCUGUAAUCACAGGGCUAUUUGAAAAAGAGAAGAAAAGGUGUCUUGAAAUUCAACCAACAUGUUUCAAUUAUUUGCUCCUAAGAACAACAGAAGUUUCAACAUUCUGCCAACAGAGUAACUCCUGGAAGAUUGGCACAGAAGAAGGCACAAGGAAGUCAGUGAUAAAAAUAUUUAAGCAGCUUUGUCUGCCUUAGACCUUCCAACUAAAAGUACAGCAAGUGGAAUGGAAUGCUAAUAUGAGGAUCCAAAUUUUCAGGGAAGGAGGAGAGCCUUUAUAUAACCAAAGAUAUUUUUGGACCAUGAAUUCAGAAAUUCUCGGAGCCACCCAUCAGUGCCUGAGCUUCAGUGAGUCCAUAUCCCAUGUCACCCACGGCAAAGGAGACUCUAAGACUUCUGAAGAGUUUCUUGCUUCUUUCCUGUGGGGCAGUGACUCCACUUCCCAGCAGUAAUGGAAUAUCCUGAAUUAGCUACAUUAAUGUUAGAACCAUUUGGACCUCACCCAGGACUUCAACUACAUUAUGAGUAACUCCUGGACGAUUGGCACAGAAGAAGGCACAAGGCAAAUACCCAUCUCUGUACACCCUGUGCUACUGUGUCAUGUGCUGCUCCAGGCAACUCCAAUGGAUUGGCCACCCUGGCCAAUGUGUUCUAGUAUGUUACGUUUAUGUUCCCCUGCUUUCUACAAUCCUGUUCAAAGAGUUGCUGACUUAACCACAG
This is a long non-coding RNA of Homo sapiens (human), 855 nucleotides long. Ensembl annotates it as STARD13 antisense RNA. Its record names the gene STARD13-AS. The record is from Ensembl. Lineage: Eukaryota; Metazoa; Chordata; Mammalia; Primates; Hominidae.